GAUGAACGCUGGCGGCGUGCCUAAUACAUGCAAGUCGAGCGAACAGACGAGGAGCUUGCUCCUCUGACGUUAGCGGCGGACGGGUGAGUACCACGUGGAUAACCUACCUAUAAUUCUGGGAUAACUUCGGGAAACCGGAGCUAAUACCGGAUAAUAUAUUGAACCGCAUGGUUCAAUAGUGAAAGACGGUUUUGCUGUCACUUAUAGAUGGAUCCGCGCCGCAUUAGCUAUUUGGUAAGGUAACGGCUUACCAAGGCAACGAUGCGUAGCCGACCUGAGAGGGUGAUCGGCCACACUGGAACUGAGACACGGUCCAGACUCCUACGGGAGGCAGCAGUAGGGAAUCUUCCGCAAUGGGCGAAAGCCUGACGGAGCAACGCCGCGUGAGUGAUGAAGGUCUUCGGAUCGUAAAACUCUGUUAUUAGGGAAGAACAAAUGUGUAAGUAACUAUGCACGUCUUGACGGUACCUAAUCAGAAAGCCACGGCUAACUACGUG
Molecule: ribosomal RNA, 497 nt
Filed under: uncultured bacterium
Lineage: Bacteria
Description: partial 16S ribosomal RNA
Rfam family: Bacterial small subunit ribosomal RNA
Source: RNAcentral